RNAcentral lists this ribosomal RNA (419 nucleotides) under bacterium. Its description in RNAcentral is "partial 16S ribosomal RNA". It matches the Rfam family "Bacterial small subunit ribosomal RNA", at positions 355 to 776 of the family's 1533-position model. The record is from RNAcentral.
UGGGGGAUAUUGCACAACGGGCGAAAGCCUGAUGCAGCGACGCCGCGUGGGGGAUGAAGGCCUUCGGGUUGUAAACUUCUUUUGCUCUGAACAAGGCAUGCUAAUGGGUGUGUUGAGUGUAGGGGUUGAUUAGCGCCGGCUAACUACGUGCCAGCAGCCGCGGUAAUACGUAGGGCGCGAGCGUUGUCCGGAAUUAUUGGGCGUAAAGGGCUUGUAGGUGGCUGGUUGCGUCUGUCGUGAAAGCUCAUGGCUUAACUGUGGGUUUGCGGUGGGUACGGGCUGGCUUGAGUGCAGUAGGGGAGGCUGGAAUUCCUGGUGUAGCGGUGGAAUGCGCAGAUAUCAGGAGGAAUACCGGUGGCGAAGGCGGGUCUCUGGGCUGUUACUGACACUGAGGAGCGAAAGCAUGGGGAGCGAACAGG